This is a long non-coding RNA of Carassius carassius (crucian carp), 331 nucleotides long. RefSeq lists it as uncharacterized. The record is from RefSeq and is a predicted model, not a curated record. Lineage: Eukaryota; Metazoa; Chordata; Actinopteri; Cypriniformes; Cyprinidae. The transcript is spliced from 2 exons.
UCAUCUGUUGAAAGUGCAAGGAUGAGGUAAAGUACUGCAGCCUGCUAGCAGGAAAACGUCACCAGACCUAACAGGAUCAUAACUGGAUUGUGUCUCUGCACUUUACCUUCUGUUGUUGAGCUUUAACUUGAAUUUCUUUAGACCACACUUAAUCAUAAAGCACGCACUUGUUACUAGUUAUGGAAAACAUUAUCUGGUGGACACCGCUUAUUCAUCUGGAAUAGGUUUACAUUUAGCAUGUAUGGAAUUUACCUCUGUGCCAAUUAAAAUGUUUUUCAAGUGACGUAUGAAAAUAUAAAUUGAAUAAAAGGCAAUUGAAACUGGAAAAAAA